RNAcentral lists this ribosomal RNA (253 nucleotides) under uncultured bacterium. RNAcentral's name for it is "partial 16S ribosomal RNA". It matches the Rfam family "Bacterial small subunit ribosomal RNA", at positions 524 to 776 of the family's 1533-position model. The record is from RNAcentral.
UACAGAGGGUGCGAGCGUUAAUCGGAAUUACUGGGCGUAAAGCGUGCGUAGACGGUUAUCUAAGUCGAAUGUGAAAGCCCCGGGCUCAACCUGGGAAUUGCAUUCGAGACUGAAUAGCUAGGGUGCGGUAGAGGGAAGUGGAAUUUCCGGUGUAGCGGUGAAAUGCGUAGAUAUCGGAAGGAACAUCAGUGGCGAAAGCGACUUCCUGGACCAAUACUGACGCUGAGGAGCGAAAGCGUGGGGAGCGAACAGG